RNAcentral lists this ribosomal RNA (360 nucleotides) under uncultured bacterium. RNAcentral's name for it is "bacterial SSU rRNA". It matches the Rfam family "Bacterial small subunit ribosomal RNA", at positions 152 to 507 of the family's 1533-position model. The record is from RNAcentral.
CGAAAGUUACGCUAAUACCGCAUACGAUCUACGGAUGAAAGCGGGGACUCGCAAGAGCCUCGCGCGAUUGGAGCGGCCGAUAUCAGAUUAGGUAGUUGGUGGGUAAAGGCUCACCAAGCCAACGAUCUGUAGCUGGUCUGAGAGGACGACCAGCCACACUGGAACUGAGACACGGUCCAGACUCCUACGGGAGGCAGCAGUGGGGAAUUUUGGACAAUGGACGCAAGUCUGAUCCAGCCAUUCCGCGUGCAGGAUGAAGGCCCUCGAGUUGUAAACUGCUUUUGUACGGAACGAAAAGGUUUCUAUUAAUACUAGGAGCUCAUGACGGUACCGUAAGAAUAAGCACCGGCUAACUACGUG